CAGUCGCCGCGGUAAUACGUAGGUCCCGAGCGUUGUCCGGAUUUAUUGGGCGUAAAGCGAGCGCAGGCGGUUAGAUAAGUCUGAAGUUAAAGGCUGUGGCUUAACCAUAGUACGCUUUGGAAACUGUUUAACUUGAGUGCAAGAGGGGAGAGUGGAAUUCCAUGUGUAGCGGUGAAAUGCGUAGAUAUAUGGAGGAACACCGGUGGCGGAAGCGGCUCUCUGGCUUGUAACUGACGCUGAGGCUCGAAAGCGUGGGGAGCAAACAGGAUUAGAUACCCCCGUAGUCCCUGUCUCUUAUACA
This 301-nucleotide ribosomal RNA is filed under the name uncultured bacterium. Its description in RNAcentral is "partial 16S ribosomal RNA". It matches the Rfam family "Bacterial small subunit ribosomal RNA", at positions 509 to 808 of the family's 1533-position model. The record is from RNAcentral.